GGUGGGGUGGCCGAGUGGUUGAAGGCGACAGUCUUGAAAACUGUUAUACCGCUCAAACGGUAUCGUGGGUUCGAAUCCCACCCCCACCGCCA
Molecule: transfer RNA, 92 nt
Filed under: Candidatus Zambryskibacteria bacterium RIFCSPHIGHO2_01_FULL_49_18
Lineage: Bacteria; Candidatus Zambryskiibacteriota
Description: tRNA-Ser
Rfam family: tRNA
About the family: Transfer RNA (tRNA) molecules are approximately 80 nucleotides in length. Their secondary structure includes four short double-helical elements and three loops (D, anti-codon, and T loops). Further hydrogen bonds mediate the characteristic L-shaped molecular structure. tRNAs have two regions of fundamental functional importance: the anti-codon, which is responsible for specific mRNA codon recognition, and the 3' end, to which the tRNAs corresponding amino acid is attached (by aminoacyl-tRNA synthetases). tRNAs cope with the degeneracy of the genetic code in two manners: having more than one tRNA (with a specific anti-codon) for a particular amino acid; and 'wobble' base-pairing, i.e. permitting non-standard base-pairing at the 3rd anti-codon position.
Source: RNAcentral